RNAcentral lists this RNase P RNA (370 nucleotides) under Luteimonas rhizosphaericola. RNAcentral describes it as "RNase P RNA component class A". It matches the Rfam family "Bacterial RNase P class A". Rfam says of the family: Ribonuclease P (RNase P) is a ubiquitous endoribonuclease, found in archaea, bacteria and eukarya as well as chloroplasts and mitochondria. Its best characterised activity is the generation of mature 5'-ends of tRNAs by cleaving the 5'-leader elements of precursor-tRNAs. The record is from RNAcentral. Lineage: Bacteria; Pseudomonadati; Pseudomonadota; Gammaproteobacteria; Lysobacterales; Lysobacteraceae.
GGAGUCGGCCGGGCAGUCGCGUCAUCCCUUGCGGAUGCCGAGGAAAGUCCGGGCUCCACAGGGCACGGUGCCAGGUAACCCCUGGGCGGCGCGAGCCGACGGAAAGUGCAACAGAAAGAUACCGCCGAACGCUCCGGCAACUCCGCAAGGAGCGGCAGGAGGCGUGGCAAGGGUGAAAUGGUGCGGUAAGAGCGCACCGCGAGCCUGGCAACAGGCCGGUACGGCAAACCCCACCGGGAGCAAGACCAAAUAGGGAGACGAUGCCGUGGCCCGCGGUGUCUCCGGGUAGGUCGCUCGAGCGUAUCGGUGACGAUGCGCCUAGAGGAAUGACUGUCCACGACAGAACCCGGCUUACAGGCCGGCUCCGCCA